ACCCUAGCCUCCCCAAAGCUUCUAUCAUACGCUUUCCUGAACGCUUCUUCUUCUUCUACCUGCAUCUCAUUCUCUCUGAGUCACUUGUGCUUGAAGCUUAACAAAGGAUUCCAAAAUCAAGCUUAUUCACGAAGGUUUUAAUUUUUUGAUCGUUCGUUUUUCUGUGAAACCCUAACGGUGUUGGUAUUAAGAUUUUAAUCAAAACCAACUGUUUGAUCCGUCUUGUGGUUCAACGUAUGUUUAUCUUUGUGCUUCUUGUGUUUAUUUUGCUUAUUUUCUAUUCUAAUUGCUUCUAAACUACCCCCGAUUUCUUCAAGCUUUUGUUAAUUGACUCAUACAACAGUCCCUGCAUAUUUUCAAUUUCUAUGAUCCUUGAUCAAAAGAUGAUUGCUAGACCAACAAAGAUUAUAUGGAUCAAUUCGUUUUAGGGCUGUUAAAACUCGCUCUUACGAUCUGUUAGGGUUUCAAUUCAUUUGUUGUUUUAAAUGCACAAUAAAUUGAAAAUAUGAUUAGAACGAUUAGAGUUCUUGAUAUAUAUUAUUGCACACUUACACAUUUAUUGUUGAUUGAAGAAAAUUGUGAAGUUGGAAAUUAAUCGAUAAGGGUUUUAUCUUUGAAUAAAAUUGUUUUUUUUUUCUAGAACGUUUUUUUGACAAAUUAGAUGUCUUUUAUUGAUCAUAAUCAAUUUAUGGGAGAUGCGAAUGACUACACAAUUUUAUGGUCGUGAAGGCUGGGCAACAUUUUUCUUUAUUGCAGGUAUGUUUGUGUCCGGUGAGAAGCUCACGUCUAGCGAUUAGCAGCGGGUUAUGCUAAAACGGGUUGGUUUGACCCAAAACAUUUUUUAUCUCAUUAUGUUUGAUGGUUGUUGAGUGGGUUGGUUUGUUGUGAUGUGUUUAGGACGAAUAGAGGAAGUUAAAUUGGGCAUGGAUGUUGUAUCUGCAGAGAUACUGGAGGGAUGCACUGGAUGCGAAAAAGGAGGCUUUGAUUCGGUUUCUUCAGAAUGGGUCGUUGGGGAUUGUUGGAGGUGAUGGGGUGAUGAAUGAUGAGGUGCAACAAUAUUUGACGGGGAAUACUCAAAAUAGGUUUAUAAUCUUCAAUAGGAGAAGGCACUUAUUGUCAGGGUUUCAUGGAAGGCCGCAGGUCAUUAAUAGGUAACUUGCAUAUCAUUGAUGGAAGCAAGGUCAGCCAUUGACUUGGGUAGAUUUAUAUGUGUGUUUGUUAUAUGUAUAUAUGUAUGUGUGUUUAAACUGUAAUAUAUACGAUAUGAUUUAUUACUUUUGAGGUUGAAAUAAUUUGUAUAGUGAAAAGAUGUAAAUAAAGGUGAGUUCUUGAAGCGAAGCCGCAUGACGCGUUGGUAUUUUUUUCAAGGAAAUGCAAUCUGGUAGAUUCUGAAUUGGAUUUUAGAGACAAGAAAUAUGAUCGCUACCAGGCAUACUUAACCGAGUCUAACAUUGCAAUUUUGUGUUAUAUGGUUCACCUCAUACUACCACCAGGUCAUGAAUAGGUUACUUGCAUAUCAUUGAUGGAAGCAAGGUCAGCCAUUGACUCGGUACAUUUAUAUUGAAAAGAUGUAGAAAAAGGUGAGUUCUUGAAGCGAAGCCGCUUGACGCGUUGGUAUUUUUUUUCAAGGAAAUGCAAUCUGUUCUUGAGCUCUUGAAGUGAUCCAUGAACCGAAUGGACCAACACCGUAUUCACAAUUUGAUCAUUCUUCUAUCGCGAUAACUGUAAAGAAAUUCUUCAAUUUAGAAUCCGAUUUCUUGACCAAGCGCGAUGAGUGGGCUGGCACCUUUGAGAGUUACUUCAACCUUCGUAGUACUCCACGUGAGGAUUGUCCAGGUUGAGGAUCCAGCUGAAGUUGAGGUGGUAUAGACACAUGUUAGUGGCAAUUUAGUAGCUAAGGAGGCGAAGCCAGCUCUGCAUGCUACCCAUGCUAUCCAUGACAAAGAAGUUAAAGGACAAAAGUCCAACUUUUCUUGAAUAAGUCAACCUGGAAGUUACUACCUGCACAAGAGAAAUUCAUAGUCAAAUCAGUGCUAUAAGAAUAGAUGCAAUUAUCAACAUGAUGUCUCCUUCACACAUUAUAUCCUUUUAUGAGGUUCUACGGUUCUUUCGUUUUUAGUUAUUUAUUUUCUUGGCCUAUGUGACCUGUACUGGUCGCUUUCUUCCCCUUAAGGCCGUUUAUGGUGGAGUUUGGCCUAACAUUUUAAAGUCGGACAUGUUUGGGUGCAACAACACGGUCAACGUCUAGAAAUUAAUCAAAGGUAUAGUUGGUGAUGGCAGCUCUAUUUGGUUCUGGGUUGAUGCUUGGGUGGCGGAUGUAACUCUUCAGUCUCUCUACUCGGCCUUAUUUCAGCUUGAAACUAAUAAACACUGUACGGUCAAAGAUCACAUCCCCACCACGUCGGAGACUACGGGGUUGACGUGGGUCUGGUCUUAUGAAAUGGAUUCUGCUGAUGAGCUGAAUGAGCUUUGGGAUUGUUGCAACCGGUUGUUUGGGAUCAACAUCCCUGGUGGGGUUGACAAAUGGAAUUGGUUGGGGGAAUCAUAUGGGGAAUUCUUAGUUAGAAUCUUAAAAUGUCUUCUUCAAAGCGAGGUUGUGGUUUCAACUAAUGAUCACUUUGAAUAGGUCAAGUGGUUGCCCAAAAAAGUCAAUAUCUUUACCAUAUUCACCCCUUUUCUCAAGCCUCCGCGACUUGCAAAAUGAUUCAUUUGGUUAUUAUCCUUGCUUGCUGGGUAAUUUGGAAGAAAAGAAACGAAGUGAUCUCUAAUUGCCUGACUGACCCGGUGAAAAUGUUGAAAGAUGUCAAAGCUUUGGGGUUCUUAUGGGUGUAUAACGGAGCUAACCUUCUAUCCUUUGAUUGAAACAGUUGGUACAACUUUUUAGUUUAUGUAACCUCUGUAUAUUCUCAUGUUGUAUAGCCUUUGGCUUGCUUUUUUCUUAAUAAAUUUGGCUGAUAAAAAAAUAUUUUGAAGACA
Molecule: long non-coding RNA, 2976 nt
Organism: Helianthus annuus (common sunflower)
Lineage: Eukaryota; Viridiplantae; Streptophyta; Magnoliopsida; Asterales; Asteraceae
Exons: 8
Source: RefSeq, a predicted model, not a curated record